ACACAAGUAGCUCAGUCAGUAAGAGAAUGAGACUCUUAAUCUCAUGGUCAUUAGUUCAAGCCCUGCAUUGGGCA
Molecule: non-coding RNA, 74 nt
Organism: Podarcis lilfordi (Lilford's wall lizard)
Lineage: Eukaryota; Metazoa; Chordata; Lepidosauria; Squamata; Lacertidae
Source: the annotation of a GenBank genome assembly